RNAcentral lists this ribosomal RNA (495 nucleotides) under uncultured bacterium. RNAcentral's name for it is "bacterial SSU rRNA". It matches the Rfam family "Bacterial small subunit ribosomal RNA", at positions 21 to 507 of the family's 1533-position model. The record is from RNAcentral.
GGCUCAGGAUGAACGCUAGCUACAGGCUUAACACAUGCAAGUCGAGGGGCAGCAUGCUGAUAGCUUGCUAUCAGUGAUGGCGACCGGCGCACGGGUGAGUAACGCGUAUCCAACCUGCCUGUCACUCAGGAAUAGCCCGGUGAAAAACCGGAUUAAGUCCUGAUGAUAUCAUUAGAGGGCAUCUGACGAUGAUUAAAGGUUACGGUGACGGAUGGGGAUGCGUCUGAUUAGCUUGUUGGCGGGUAACGGCCCACCAAGGCAACGAUCAGUAGGGGUUCUGAGAGGAAGGUCCCCCACAUUGGAACUGAGACACGGUCCAAACUCCUACGGGAGGCAGCAGUGAGGAAUAUUGGUCAAUGGGCGGAAGCCUGAACCAGCCAAGUAGCGUGAGGGAUGACUGCCCUAUGGGUUGUAAACCUCUUUUAUAAGGGAAUAAAAUACGGGACGUGUCCUGUUUUGCAUGUACCUUAUGAAUAAGGACCGGCUAAUUCCGUG